Molecule: ribosomal RNA, 401 nt
Filed under: uncultured bacterium
Lineage: Bacteria
Description: bacterial SSU rRNA
Rfam family: Bacterial small subunit ribosomal RNA
Source: RNAcentral
CGUGUAUGAAGAAGGCCUUCGGGUUGUAAAGUACUUUCAGCAGUGAGGAAGGUGGAGUCGUUAAUAGCGGCCUCAUUUGACGUUAGCUGCAGAAGAAGCACCGGCUAACUCCGUGCCAGCAGCCGCGGUAAUACGGAGGGUGCGAGCGUUAAUCGGAAUUACUGGGCGUAAAGCGCAUGCAGGUGGUUUGUUAAGUCAGAUGUGAAAGCCCCGGGGCUCAACCUCGGAAUUGCAUUUGAAACUGGCAGACUAGAGUACUGUAGAGGGGGUAGAAUUUCAGGUGUAGCGGUGAAAUGCGUAGAGAUCUGAAGGAAUACCAGUGGCGAAGGCGGCCCCCUGGACAAAGACUGACGCUCAGAUGCGAAAGCGUGGGGAGCAAACAGGAUUAGAUACCCUGGUAG